GCCGCCUCUUCGCUACGCCCCGUGCCGUGCGGGCCGUCGGUGUCCGUCCUGCGGCGCUGCUGCGCUCGUCACUGCUUGCGCUCACGGGCGCACGCGAGGCAGCGAGAGGGGAGGACAGCAGUAGAUCGCGGCACCGAGGAUGGUGGAGGCCGGGGGGUGACUACUUUUCCGGGCGCCGGGCGGCUCGUGACCCCGUCGUCGAUCACUCACCGGACGGCGGCAAGCAGGCAGGCGCGCAGUGGUGUAGCCCCUCGAGCGCCAGCCACUGCUGCCGCUCCUCCGGCGGCACCGGCGGUCUUUCCAAGACUAAAGACUUCUCGUGGUCUAGGUGAGAGGAGCCGUCGUCACGUAAGCUCUAAUGUGACUACCCCAAGGAGUGUUCAAGAACCUAAUACUUGAACACGCCCUCGGGUCAUACGAGGUUGGUUCUACAUGAAAGUACACGUAAGUUGCCUUAUAAGCUGAGAAGGUGAACGUGCUUAGUAGACCACCGCUAACCGUAGCCGUACGACGAGUAUGAACACGAGUGUGAGGUAAAUGAACAGGUUUAAGGCUUCUCGUCUCGUAGAUACGCCGUUGAGAAGUGUGAGUCAAGUGGUGAUGUCACCGACGUCAUAACAAGUCACCGACGAACCCAAACCAAAUAGAACCGGAUCCUGAGAGCUACGACCUGUUGUAGCAGUUAGUCCUACGAAGACAAAUGGGCGGUGUGACCACCGAACACUGUAAUAGAGUUCCUAAGUUAAACUAGACAAGGUCGAAACGAAAGUCGUAGUCCGGAGCCAAAGAACCUCGACGUAAACAAUUUGAAAAAAGACAAAACCACUGGUGCAUACGUCGUAAGUAUCCAACAAGGAGUCACCAACCGUAACAACGUUUCUUCCGUUAAUGGUAAUUCCGAACGAACCUACAAGACAGGGAUGGUCUACGUAAAGAGGAAAAUGAAAUACCGCAAGCCACGUCGGUACUGCUUCUCCCAAUGGUUCCUUUACCUUUACGAAAUAUGUUCGGGGACUUGCGGCUCCGUCUACCACUCUACCGACUAAGACUGUCAGUUCACUGAGAAAAACGGUUUCGACCAAAAAAGUCGUUCUACAGUAAGACCACCAAUUUAGUAAACUACUUCUACCCAAUGUUCUUCGGAGAGCUCCUGUUUCUACACGGCGAAAAUGUUUGGUGUCUGGAUCGUGUAUUGGUCAUGAACUAUAAGAACCGCUUCGACUUGUCGUUCGUCAGGGUCAGUUUACGGUGUGGUAGUGAGAACACCUGGUAACAAAGAACAGUGUUCGCACCCUAGUACCAGAGUCCAAAGAAACGAAACGAGUUCCACGAGUGGAAUAGAUAUCCGGGUAACGAAGAGUUCCGUAAGUAGUUACAUAGUCAACCCUUUCCCUGGAAGUUUAUACUUCCGAAACACGACCGACGCUGUAACAAGUAAACGUUUACAACACUUAGAAACAGUCUCUCCGUCACCAUAAAGGCAUGAGCCUCUAAUCCUGAGGUUCACUCCAGUAACGAUAGUCGUCGAUAAAUAUUCUUCGUUGUCUUCGAUAGUUUGAGGCGUUUUUACGUCGUGAGAAGACCUGUCUAAUACUUGAUACACUGUCAACUACGGAUGGCCCAACCCCUUAAGGGCAUGACCAAGGUGGUUUGCACCUGUUGUUGAUAAGUUGAAACGUAACGAGACCGUUAAGACAUGUUACGUCAACCACGACGUCGCCAGAGUAGCAAUCGACAAUAGUAAUAGUGGCAUCAACCAUUACGAGGUAACCGCUUUGAUGUCUUGUUUAAAGUCUCAUUCGAAUACCUUCGUGUUCUACACUCUAACUUCCGGUACAGACUCAGUAAUCAAGUAUACUUCUAGAACUUCGAAAUACGUACCCUUCGAGUGAAGUUCUUCCAGUAGCUCCCCAACUCCCUCCAACUCAUAUUCACCAACAGUCGUAAGAACGAAUCCUCCCGUAUGUUGUCAUAGCACAAGACCAGUAGUGGACAAAAUCAAAGUCGCCGUUGGAAAGAUUGUACGAUAGAAAACUUUUAGGGAGAACUGCGAUCGUUGCAGAAGUGGUGACAUCGUUGAGACGCAGAACACGUCCUCGGUCAAUCUAGUUAUGGUUAACAAUAGCGUCAACGUUAUGUUCGAUUCCAACGAAAGUGAGCCUAUAGUUUCAAGGAACUACGUGCACUCGACUUACCCGUUCAAUCCUUCUUUAUGGCACACCCGUGGCUAAUAGGUUAUCGCUACUUGAGUACGUCAAAGAGGACCCUACUCUUAGGUAGUUUUGGUUGAGAUUUGUUAUAUUUAGACCAACAGUUUCGACCUCUUUUCUAACGUUAAACACCUCUCCAUCCUAGUCCUUUUAGUUGUGAAAACCGACGACAUGAGCCUCUCCAGGGGUUUUGACUUCCGUGCUAAGUUCAGACACCUUCUUAUCGUAUACAAAGAGUCUGACGUACCUAGGUUUGUCCUUGAUAUGUUCUAUUAUAGGAGAAACCUAGAAACUACCUGUCUGUUUACAUGGUUCUUUGUGAACGUUCCACGAGCAACGAGUUCCUGGAACUUUACGACGGUAAGCCGCUAGAAUGAGUUUAACCCCUCUCUCCUUAUUUAGAGUCACCACCAGUCUUCGUCGCACAAGUCGAACGAGCACGUAAUAUGGUCUUACGGCUGUAGAUAGAAGAACUACUGGGAAAGUCACGACAGCUACGGGUAUGUCGUUGUUCAGAGAAAUUACUAAUACAGUACCCAUAAGACAGUCUGUUCUGACAAGAAAACCACUGGGUGGUUCACCUAAAAGAUGGACCUAAACUGAGGUAAGACAAUUACAGUCUACCCCACCAAUAAGCCAGACGUAGAAUAGUGCUAAAUAACAGUCUAACGGUUCUUAAAUUUAUAGAACAUUUACGGGUAUUUCUAUGAUGACCACAAAGUCUAGAAUUGUUAUACCGGGUAGUGUCUCGUUUCCUAAACGGUUAUUUCCUCUGUCUACCAUAAGUACCUUUGUCUAUAUAUCUCAGACACUUCGGUAGUGGUCAUCUAGUUGACUAGUUUUGUCUCCUUUCUCUUAGUCCCCUGCGUCCAGAAUUCGGAAUAUAGGAUAUGGACGCGGUCUUUUUUCCGAAGGACAUACGGAGGGAAAGACAGUACAGAGUGUAUUAAAAGUAUCGACCCGUUUAUAGUGUCUUAAGUACCUACCGGCGAUUACAGGUUUUAGGACUACAAUCACGUGACUUCAAUUAAAGACACAUGUAACAAUAACCUCAAACGUGCCACAAGAAACACGAUAGUUCUAGAUAUAAGAAGCAACAAGAACCCUACGUCUGAAGUUCUAGGAAUAAAAGGGUCGAUGAAUUAAGUAACAAGGCACGUGGUUACAGGAAGAAACUAAGAUGAGGAGAUCCGUCCCAAGAAUCGGCCCAGAGAAGUCUAAAUUCGUAGUAACUGGAACUACAAGGUAAACGUAACUACAAACCGAAAUCAAGGUCGAAUUUACGCAUAUCGUUAGACCCCCAUAACCGACAACAAUGUACCGUUCAAGACAAACAUAGUAACGGUUACUAUCAAAACCGUUAAGCCAAUGUCUCCAUGAUGAAUCGGAGCCGAUUCCUUAACUACGCAUAGUUACCGUGAUGGUUCAGACGAGAUCAUUUAGUGAAUCCACUUAGCUAGAGUCCCCGAUAUUGUUAUGCACGGAAACUCCUUCUUCCAGCAAAGAAACGAUUUUUAGACCUCAAUCAACUGUUCUUACGACCAGGCAUGAAAAAAUUAAAACGUCGUUGACUUACCAACUAAGUUGCAGACCUUUAUUACUCACGACGCCAAGAAAGAAGAAGACGAAAACAGUACCGAGAAGAAGGACGUCCUUGAAAAUCGGGACCAAAACAACCUUACCGUAACAGGAUGCCGGAAAGGGAUUUAUUAAGGAAACAAUCGAGAUAAGUUUUCGUUACACUGGAACGUUUGUUUUAUUAUAGACACCUUGCCCACUUGGUCAUGUACCUGUAAGGCUCACUUCGUCGUCUUCAAUAACUUCUUUUGGCUGGUCGUGGUCUAACCGGGGUCCAACCGUCACACCUCGAAUUUCUAAACUUCUAAUCCAUAUACCUUCUAUGAGGGAACAUGAUGUACCUUAGUGAACGUUCAAAGUUCCAUCUCUAUUUUAACCAUAUCAACCAGCUUGUCCUUCACCGUUCUGUUGAAAUUAACCACGUAACAAAGUGGAACAACUUGGACGACUUCCCCUAUAUUAAUAUCUGAGACACUUGUAGUCAUUUUAUCCGAAUGUACUGGACGCAAGUGCAAACCCGUAGUAAGGUGUUCUAGGUUGUGAAAAAGUCCCAUGUCAUUCUAUAUUAGAUCUAGGGGAACCCGUCAAGAAUCUAGUUGAUUAUACCCUC
This 4398-nucleotide ribosomal RNA is filed under the name Triticum aestivum (bread wheat). RNAcentral's name for it is "partial small subunit ribosomal RNA". The record is from RNAcentral. Lineage: Eukaryota; Viridiplantae; Streptophyta; Magnoliopsida; Poales; Poaceae.